This is a long non-coding RNA of Clupea harengus (Atlantic herring), 443 nucleotides long. RefSeq lists it as uncharacterized. The transcript is spliced from 3 exons. NCBI's taxonomy places the organism in Eukaryota, Metazoa, Chordata, Actinopteri, Clupeiformes, Clupeidae. The record is from RefSeq and is a predicted model, not a curated record.
CCACGUAGACGUUCACUGGCUUACACCCACCUGUCAGUUAAUUGAGCGAUAAUGAGCUUGUAACUUCCGCCUAGAUAAACUAGGAUAUGCUCUCGCCGAUUGUUUGAAACGCACGUUGCCGUCACUGGUGGGAGUAAGACGCUAGCUGCACCUUGUCAGGAGUUUCAUGCCGGAACUUCACGUUAGGCAUUGCCCUGUUUGACUAUAGUAUUGCAAGAGGUCUCCCCUGGCUACUGGGGUUAACAAGGGACGCCAAGCUGACGUGGGUCCCUCCUCCCCAUGUCCACCUGGGUCCUUCCUUUGGUAUGACCGUCAAGGCCAAGAUCACAGCAGCAAUUGACACACAGUUGAUAGUCUGGCCACUGUUUUCCUCCUGUUUAUUUCUUUGAUGUAGUUCUGUGUGUAUUGACUGACCUAGUUGAAGCCACGUGUCUCGUUGUUAC